Long non-coding RNA from Heterocephalus glaber (naked mole-rat), 554 nucleotides. NCBI's taxonomy places the organism in Eukaryota, Metazoa, Chordata, Mammalia, Rodentia, Bathyergidae. The record is from Ensembl.
CCUGUUCUUAAUGCUGCACGGUCCUCAGGAGAAGCUACUUACCGCUCAUUUAGUCAGAGCCCACCUGAGCUGGGAGAAGGGCUGUACCCAGCUCCAGCCCCCUCGUCACACCGUCCCACCUGGGCAGGGGGCAGGACAAGGGUGAGACACGCGUGUGAAUUUCAUGGUGGAGGCACAGCCUAAUCAGAAGACUGCGUCCAAGGCGAGCCCCACACUUGAGAGUUUUACCUCCAGUCCUCACAUACAGGAAAAAAGAAAAAAGAAAAAAAGAAAGGAAAAGAAAGGAAAAAUUAUUUCAGGAGCAGGAAACUUAUACAAGUCAGAAACUCAGACCUCCAUGAAGAAAAGUAGAGCGUCAGAGGAGGAAUAAGUGAAGAACUGUGUUCCAGGAGGCGAGAGGCCAGCUCCACCCACGACUCAGAUACCUGCACAAAGACUUCUCCCAAAAACAGCACUGAGUUCUGUGCAUCCUCCCACUGCAUUGCUCAGAAUAAUAAAAGGAUGGAGUAGAGUUUGGUGUCACUGUCUUGAUUAAUAUUAAGACUCUAGUAGCA